AGAACGAACGCUGGCGGCAUGCCUAAUACAUGCAAGUCGAACGAACACUUCGGUGUUAGUGGCGCACGGGUGCGUAACGCGUGGGAAUCUGCCCUUGGGUUCGGAAUAACAGUUGGAAACGACUGCUAAUACCGGAUGAUGACGAAAGUCCAAAGAUUUAUCGCCCAGGGAUGAGCCCGCGUAGGAUUAGCUAGUUGGUGAGGUAAAGGCUCACCAAGGCGACGAUCCUUAGCUGGUCUGAGAGGAUGAUCAGCCACACUGGGACUGAGACACGGCCCAGACUCCUACGGGAGGCAGCAGUGGGAAUUUGGACAAUGGGGAAACCUGAUCCAGCCAUCCGCGUGUGCGAUGAAGGCCUUCGGGUUGUAAAGCACUUUUGGCAGGGUAAGAAACGGCGUGCCCGUAAUACGGACGUCACUGACGGUACCUGCAGAAUAAGCACCGGCUAACGUACGUGCCAGCAGCCGC
RNAcentral lists this ribosomal RNA (468 nucleotides) under uncultured soil bacterium. Its description in RNAcentral is "bacterial SSU rRNA". It matches the Rfam family "Bacterial small subunit ribosomal RNA", at positions 26 to 518 of the family's 1533-position model. The record is from RNAcentral.